RNAcentral lists this unclassified non-coding RNA (337 nucleotides) under soil metagenome. RNAcentral's name for it is "partial contains 5.8S ribosomal RNA, internal transcribed spacer 2, and large subunit ribosomal RNA". The stretch from base 1 to 120 matches the Rfam family "5.8S ribosomal RNA", at positions 35 to 154 of the family's 154-position model. The record is from RNAcentral.
GAUGAAGAACGUAGCGAAAUGCGAUAAGUAGUGUGAAUUGCAGAAUUCAGUGAAUCAUCGAAUCUUUGAACGCACAUUGCGCCCCAUGGUAUUCCGUGGGGCAUGCCUGUUCGAGCGUCAUUUACCCCCUCAAGCUCCGCUAGGUGUUGGGCGUCUGUCCCGCUUCGCGCGCGGACUCGCCCCAAAGGUAUUGGCAGCGGUCGUGCCAGCUUCUCGCGCAGCACAUUGCGCUUCUCGAGGCACCGGUGGGCCCGCGUCCAUCAAGCUCACCCCCCCAGUUUGACCUCGGAUCAGGUAGGGAUACCCGCUGAACUUAAGCAUAUCAAUAAGCGGAGGA